Heterocephalus glaber (naked mole-rat) is the source of this 2148-nucleotide long non-coding RNA. RefSeq lists it as uncharacterized. The record is from RefSeq and is a predicted model, not a curated record. NCBI's taxonomy places the organism in Eukaryota, Metazoa, Chordata, Mammalia, Rodentia, Bathyergidae.
CCUUCGCCCCUGCACCGCCGCCCGGAGCUGCCAGCUUUGGGAGCCUUCGCGCGAGUUUCUCCGCUGCUUCACCUUCUCGGGCGAGCCCCCCCUUCCACUUGCUUUUUUCUUUUCUUUCUCGCUUUCCUCCUCAAGGUGUGUGCUCCACUCCCCCCACCUUUGAAAAAUACAGUCCAACUCCUCCUGGUUGGCAAUUAAUUCCUCUCCCCGCUCCUUUAUCUGCCUUACCCCCCCUCCAACAGCUGGUUGCCUUCCUCCUUGUUUUAUUUCAUUUUAUUUUAUAUGAUUUCUUGCUCUUAAAAAAAAAAGCUCCUCUAAGGCACUGAUCCGCUCAAUUCCCUCCCCCCCCAAAGAUGCUCUAAUUUAUUUAUUUUUUGCGUCCUUUAUAACACAAGCCACAGCCCCCUCUCCCCCCACUCCCCCCUUCCCUCCCUCCUUCUUCACAAAAUGAAAGGAAAGAGGGGAAAAAAAAUCCCUCAGAAGAUGAGUAAACAAGCGUAUGCUAAUCUGCUCCCGAGCGCUCCACCUUCCCGAUUGAAUGAGUCCCUGUUAAAACUGCGGGGAUCAUGACUAAUCAAUCAGUUUGGAGAGGCGAGUUACGCAGCCAGCCUCCACUUCGCCGUUCUUCACUCCCUCUUCUCCACCCCCCCUUCUUCUUCUUCUUCUUCUUUUUUUUUCGGGGGGGGGGAGACAAUCUUAAAGUAACAAUUUAAUGAAAUUCUGUACACACCCCCUUACGGUCCUCCCAGCCCUCCUCAUUUCUGCUCAAAACACACAUUCCUGUUUUUGUUUUGUUUUGCUUGCUUCUUUCUCUUCUUCACCCAUCCCUUAUUAUUAUUAUUAUUAUUAUUAUUAUUAUUAUUAUUUCCCCUCUCCUGGCGGGAGAGAAAUGUAUCUCUUCUCUCAGGAUCCCCUUUGCACUUUGCUGGUAAACCUCUUCCCUUUCCAUCGAACAUAAAGAGUCCUGAAACUUGAUUCUCAGAUUUAAAAAAAAUUCUCAUUUUCUCUCUCUCUCCCUCUCUCUCUCUCCUCUCUCUUUCCUUUCAUUUCUCACUUUGCUUCUUUUUCUCAGUCCUCUCCUCUCUUCCUCCCUUCUCUCCAAUCCUUUCCCUCUUCCUCUUUCUCCCUUUCUUGCCUUUCUCUUCUGCUUUCCCUGUCCUUCUCCUUUCCCUUAGAAUUUCCUUAAAGUUAUGCAGUGAUGAGCCGCCCCGUCCCCUCUUCCAUGAGCCCUCUGUGAGGUUGCCAGCAUCAGGCUUCAGCUAACCUAAAUAUUGUUUCCCAAAUCCUCACGGAAUUAGCAGUAGACAGCAAGGAAAGGCAUUUCCCAGGACGUCUGCCUUUCAGGAGCUGUAGACCUAGCGGAACGGGGUCUCUCAAUUCCCCCGUAUAUUCUUACAAACAUUCUAUUGAUUGUUAGAAAUUAUUUUCAUUGUAUAUUAACAACGAAAGAAGAAUACUAAUUUCCCCAACUUCAACCGAAGCAAUUCAGGUCCUCUGACAUUGUGUAAGGCACAGGUUGCUCCUGUCCACAGGGCUGCUGUACAUUCUUAGUUGGGAUCCUGGCUCCAGGCUUCAGGGAGAGAGAGAACCAGGGGCUAAUGACUGGGAAGCUGAGACAGAAACUUCUAGAUUCCAACACCAGUCCUUUGACUCAUGCCAAAGAGCCCCAUUUUGUUUAUCUCUGGCAAUCACAGCAGUAUUUCUUUUGUAUGUUUUCUUGUUUGUUUGUUUUUGUUAACAUUUCUUAAAUUUAGAAUUUCACUUGAAGAUGAAGACUACUGAUGCACAAUGUAUGUUUUUCUUUACAAUUUCUAGAAAAACCAUCAUUUUAGAUUGUAUUAUUUUAUAAUUUUACUCUUUGUAAUAAUAAUUAACUAUAAUUUAUCAUGACAGAUACUAUCUUGUUGGUUAUGAAUAUGAUUUCAUUUAAUCCUCAGAACUAUACCCUGUAGUUUUUCUUAUUCCCAUUUUGUAAACAAAUGAAAAAAAUUAAAUUUAAAAUAAUGAGAUUUAAAAAAAAAUUGGUUGGAUUCUGUGACACAUUUGAACCCCAAUCUGUGUCACUCCAAAGUCUACAUUCUUGACUACUUGGCUGCUCUUCCUCUAAUCCACCUUUAAUCUUUCUAUUGUUUUACAUCGGAAACAAGA